AGAUAACUAGUCUAAUAUAAGAUAACUGAUUUCGGCCUAGUUGAUCGUGAUUUAACUUCACGGUUAUCGA
Molecule: transfer RNA, 70 nt
Filed under: Geoclemys hamiltonii
Lineage: Eukaryota; Metazoa; Chordata; Testudines; Geoemydidae
Description: tRNA-Arg
Source: RNAcentral